RNAcentral lists this long non-coding RNA (3662 nucleotides) under Elaeis guineensis (African oil palm). RNAcentral describes it as "long non-coding RNA (EGUI_LNC013064)". Lineage: Eukaryota; Viridiplantae; Streptophyta; Magnoliopsida; Arecales; Arecaceae. The record is from RNAcentral.
CACAAGCGUGUGGGUAUCUCGCACCGGGGCUGCUCUCCUGCUGGGAUUGAAGCUUAAGGCGACUGUGGGUUCUUCAGACGACCUUCGUGACGACAUGAUGGAUGGUUUCCAGGUCGUGGAAAGCCGUCGGCGCCCAUUAUUCAGGAGAAGCUCGGGCCCCUGGGAGCUGUAGCGAGUCCUGGCAGCCCGUUUCUUAGGUAUGGGUGGUAUGAGACGGAUGUCGAUGGAGGAUUCUUCCUUUCGGCUUUGGGUUUUCCUGGAAGGGAGAGUGGUGGGGACUCUGUGGGCUUCAUGAGGUGUCUAUUGCUCGGUUGGGUGAGUUUCUGAAUUCUUAGUUGUCUUUAUGUAGGAUGUCGUUGUUCUGUCGUUUUAUUUUGGUGACUAAACUCGAAGCUUCGAGAGAGCUCGCAUUCAGCUUUGCAUUAAAAUUAUAGAUGCAAUCUAAUAUAUAUAUAUAUAUAUAUAUAUAUAUAUAUAUAUAUAUAUAUAUAUAUAUAUAUAUAUAUAUAUAUAAAAGUAGAAAUUGAAAGAAAAUUUAUUAACAAUUGAAGCUGUCCACGUAAGGAGCAACUUCUCACCUAUGAAUGCCAUCUAGAUUAUAUUAAUUUUCAGUAUGCCAUGUGUCUUCGAUUAUUUUAUCUAACAAUCUUUAAGUAUUGAAUGAUAGCAUUAUGUUAUUAAAAAAAGUGCAUUGAAGCUUAUUUAUAUGUAUUAAAUUUUGUUAUGAAAGUAUGAUAUUAUUGUACUCUUGCAAUUAAAAUCCACUUAGAAUAUGGAUCGACAUCAGAAAUUUGAAUCUACAUUAUGUUCUUAUUUAUAAAUAAUUUUUGAGAAAAAUGAUCAAUUACCUAGAACCCACGUGCAAUGCGCGGGCUCAAAACUAGUUUUAUAAAUUUCAGAGACCAUUUGAUCUCAUACCAAAUGCUGCUAUUGUUGAUAGAAAAAUAUAAAUUUUGUAUUAAAUUCUUUGUUGCCCUUACGUAAUUUGCCGGUAAUUUUGUUGUUUGGUUUGUUGUUGGGCUUAUAUUCUGCAUUAAUAUGGUGAGUGCAAGAGAGGAUUUAAUCUCAUACGAGAUGCCGUCAGUGGUAAUAGAAAUGCGUGGUUUCUUUUGUUUCGUACUAAAUUCUUUGUUGCCCUCACAUAACUUGCUGUAAAUUUGUCAUUUGGUUUUGGUAAUGAACCUGAAGGUUUGAGAAAGUUCUUGUAUUUAGUUUUGCAUGAGUGUCGUGGAUGCAAUUUUACAGAUUUGAGAGAGGGUUUAAUCUCUCACAUAGUGCCUCUAUUGGUAAUGGAAAUUGAUGGUUUCUUCUGUUUCGUAUUAAAUUCUUUGUUGCCUUUAUAUAACUUGCUGUUGGCUCGUCGUUUGGUUUUGGCAAUGAAGAAUCUUCGAGAGACAACUUGCAUUCAAUUUCACACUGAUAGGUGCAGUUUUUCACCCAUUUGAGAGAGGAUUUAAUCUGAUACUGGUGGUAGGAGUGCAUGUGGUUUCUAUUCUUUCAUACCAAAUUCUUUGUUACCUUUAUGUAGCUUGCCGUUAGUUUGUUCUUUGGUUUUGAUAAUAAACCAGAAUCUUUAAGAUAUAUCUUGCAUUCACUUUCACACUAAUAUUGUGGGUGCAAUUUCCCAGAUUUGACAUUAGGAUUUAAUCUCAUACCGAGUGCCGCUAUUGGUAGUACAAAUGAAUGGUCUCUUUUGUUUUGAACUAAAUUUUUUGUUUCCUUUAUAUAACUUGCUAUUAGUUUGUUGUUUGGUUUUGGUAACGAACCUGAAACUUUGAGAGAAAACUAACAUGGAGUUUUGCAUGAAUGUUGUGGAUACAAUUUCACAGAUUUGAGAGAGGAUUUAAUCUCAUAUCGAGCGCCUGCUAUUGGUAAUAGGAAUAAAUGAUUUCUUUCACUUUAUAGGUUUGUUGCCUUCAUAAAGCUGGCUGUUUGUUUGUCUAGAUUUUGGUAAUUAAGCCCGAAGCUUCGAGAGAGAACUUGCAUUCAAUUUUGCAUUAAUAUUGUGGGUGCAAUUUCACAUAUUUGAGAGGACAUAUCUCAUACAAGGUGCUGCUAUCAGUAAUAAUAAUGCAUGGUUUAUUUCAUUUCCUACUAAAUUCUUUGUUAUCUUUAUAUAACUUGGCAUUAGCUUGUCGUUUUGCAUUAGUAAUAAGCAGGAAGCUUCGAGAGAGGUCACAUACAAUUUUGCAUUAAUGUUGUGGGUGCAGUUUCAUAGAUUUGAAAGAGGACUAAAUCUCAUACAGAGUGCCCCUGUUGGGUAAUAGAAAUGCUUGGUUUGUUUCCUACCAAAGUCUUUGUUGCCUCUUUAUAACUUGCCAUUAGUUUGUCGUUUGGGUUUGGUAAUGAACCUGAAGCUUUGAGAAAGAGCUCACACUUAAUAUUGCAUUAAUUUUGGGAGUGCGAUUUUACAAAUUUGAGGGAGGACUUAGUGCUGCAUCGAGUGCAUUACCAGUAAUAGCAAUACAUGGUUUCAUUUGUUUCACACUAAAUUCUUUGUUGCCUUUUGAUAGCUUGCCAUUGAUUUGUCUUUUGGUUUUGUGAAAGAACUGGAAGCUAGCAUUCAGUUUUGCAUUAAUAUUGUGGAUGCAAUUUUAUACGUGUAUCAAUAUCAGUUGGUUUAUUGUUUAUUUUUGGUGGAUGAACCUGAAGCUUCGAGAGAGAUCUUGUAAUUGAUUUUGUGUUUAAUAUUGCUGACAUAAUUUCAUAGGUUUGAGAGAGAACUUAAUAUGUGAUUUCUUUUGGUUUUACAGGAGUUUCAUGAUUUAUUGUUACUGAAUAAAAACCAGCACCAUGUGUAGGUUAAAUAUCAUAGAACUUAACACUUCAUGAUUUGCUCAGCCAAUAGAAAGAUAUUUACAUAUAGAGUUCUCAGCUAGUGGUCAGAAAGCCAUUGCCAAGAUUUUUUAUGAAAAUUUACAUGGAAUUUAAAUUAUCAAAGAGUAGCAAUGUAUUUUCUUAUUCAUGAAAUUUCUAAAUUACUUGGUUGAUAUAUGUUCUCCAUGUGAUGAUCAGUCUUUGACUUGUGUCAUCAAACUUGUGGAUCAUAUUGAUUGGAGAAAAAUGCCAACCCUGAAUAAAUUGGCAUAUUAUUAGUGAUUUUCCUGAAGGAGAGCUAGUGGUUGAUUUGCUUAAUUCUCAUCCACCAAUGGUCUUGAACUCAUCAUUUCAAGAAGAUUGCUUCUCUUGCUUUGUCCUCCCACCAAGAGCAUAAUUAAAUCUUAACAAAUAAAAAAAUACUGUAAUUUCUAAAAGAUAAAUCCUUUGUAAGAAUGUCAUUUUUGCAUACAUGUAUUAGGUUAAACAAAUAAGCAAUGCUUUAAUAUGGUUUUCUCUACCUUCUUUGCCUCCAUAAAGAGCUUCGUGGAACUAUUUCCUGAAAAGUAGUGUAAUUUUUCUUUUUUUGGAUGAACUGAGAACUAGUGCAAUAAAUUUAGUCUUAGUAUGGGCCAAUUAGAUAUACAAAACUACGUGUUCUAGCAAACUUUUUUUUCUUUUCAGAUAGAGGAGGGAAACCCAAUAGAAGAAGAAGUGCUUGGACCAGGCCAGGGUUUUUACUUCAGAACAUCUCCCUAAAGUCGAAAUCUUGCAUGACAAAACCCAAGCUGCAUAUACUUUCAUUUUUCUUUGGUAAUGCAACAUGCAUAAAAGGCGAAAGAGGG